RNAcentral lists this ribosomal RNA (450 nucleotides) under uncultured bacterium. RNAcentral describes it as "bacterial SSU rRNA". It matches the Rfam family "Bacterial small subunit ribosomal RNA", at positions 354 to 796 of the family's 1533-position model. The record is from RNAcentral.
GUGGGGAAUAUUGGACAAUGGGCGAAAGCCUGAUCCAGCCAUGCCGCGUGUGUGAAGAAGGUCUUCGGAUUGUAAAGCACUUUAAGUUGGGAGGAAGGGCAGUAAGUUAAUACCUUGCUGUUUUGACGUUACCGACAGAAUAAGCACCGGCUAACUUCGUGCCAGCAGCCGCGGUAAUACGAAGGGUGCAAGCGUUAAUCGGAAUUACUGGGCGUAAAGCGCGCGUAGGUGGUUUUGUAAGUUGGAGGUGAAAGCCCCGGGCUCAACCUGGGAACUGCCUCCAAAACUGCAUGACUAGAGUACGGUAGAGGGUAGUGGAAUUUCCUGUGUAGCGGUGAAAUGCGUAGAUAUAGGAAGGAACACCAGUGGCGAAGGCGACUACCUGGACUGAUACUGACACUGAGGUGCGAAAGCGUGGGGAGCAAACAGGAUUAGAAACCCCAGUAGUCC